Molecule: ribosomal RNA, 629 nt
Filed under: Dendrobaena octaedra
Lineage: Eukaryota; Metazoa; Annelida; Clitellata; Crassiclitellata; Lumbricidae
Description: partial 16S ribosomal RNA
Rfam family: Bacterial large subunit ribosomal RNA
Source: RNAcentral
UUUUUGGACCCUAUAAAAAGUAACUCCUGCCCAGUGAAUUAAAUUUUCAACGGCCGCGGUAUCCUAACCGUGCAAAGGUAGCAUAAUCAUUUGCCCAUUAAUUGUGGGCUAGAAUGAAAGGAUUAACGAAAUAAUAACUGUCUCUAUAAAUUUAACAAAAAUUAUCAUCUAACUGAAGAUUGUUAGAUUAAAUUGAAGGACAAGAAGACCCUAUAGAGCUUUAUUUUAAUUUGUAUAUUACAAUUAUAAAUUCGGUUGGGGCGACCGGGGAAAAUUAAUAAUCAUCCCCAAAACUAAGAUUUAUUAAUCUAUUUAUAUGACCCUUCUAAGAUCUAAAAAACAAGCUACCUUAGGGAUAACAGGCUAAUCCUACUUAAGAGUCCUUAUCUAUAGUGGGGGUUGGCACCUCGAUGUUGGCUUAGGAAAUCUAUAUAGCGCAAAAGCUAUAUAAAGAUGGUUUGUUCAACCAAUAAUAUCCUACAUGAGCUGAGUUCAGACCGGCGUAAGCCAGGUUAGUUUCUAUCCUCAACAAUAAAUUUAUUUACAGUACGAAAGGACCUAAAUAAAAUAACAAUUAUAAUUCAAGAACCAAUAUAAUAUAAAUUUAUAAACAUAACAUAUUAAAAAUA